Molecule: ribosomal RNA, 497 nt
Filed under: uncultured bacterium
Lineage: Bacteria
Description: partial 16S ribosomal RNA
Rfam family: Bacterial small subunit ribosomal RNA
Source: RNAcentral
GAUGAACGCUGGCGGCGUGCCUAAUACAUGCAAGUCGAGCGAACAGACGAGGAGCUUGCUCCUCUGACGUUACCGGCGGACGGGUGAGUAAUACGUGGAUAACCUACCUAUAAGACUGGGAUAACUUCGGGAAACCGGAGCUAAUACCGGAUAAUAUAUUGAACCGCAGGGUUCAUUAGUGAAAGACGGUUUUGCUGUCACUUAUAGAUGGAUCCUCGCCGCAUUAGCUAGUUGCUAAGGUAACGGAUUACCAAUGCAACGAUGCGUAGCCGACCUGAGAGGAUGAUCAGCCACACUGGAACUGAGACACGGUCCAGACUCCUACGGGAGGCAGCAGUAGGGAAUCUUCCACAAUGGGCGAAAGCCUGACGGAGCAACGCCGCGUGAGUGAUGAAGGUCUUCGGAUCGUAAAACUCUGUUAUUAGGGAAGAACAAAUGUGUAAGUAACUAUGCACGUCUUGACGGUACCUAAUCAGAAAGCCACGGCUAACUACGUG